RNAcentral lists this transfer RNA (75 nucleotides) under Frigoribacterium sp. Leaf263. RNAcentral describes it as "tRNA-Thr". It matches the Rfam family "tRNA". Rfam says of the family: Transfer RNA (tRNA) molecules are approximately 80 nucleotides in length. Their secondary structure includes four short double-helical elements and three loops (D, anti-codon, and T loops). Further hydrogen bonds mediate the characteristic L-shaped molecular structure. tRNAs have two regions of fundamental functional importance: the anti-codon, which is responsible for specific mRNA codon recognition, and the 3' end, to which the tRNAs corresponding amino acid is attached (by aminoacyl-tRNA synthetases). tRNAs cope with the degeneracy of the genetic code in two manners: having more than one tRNA (with a specific anti-codon) for a particular amino acid; and 'wobble' base-pairing, i.e. permitting non-standard base-pairing at the 3rd anti-codon position. Lineage: Bacteria; Bacillati; Actinomycetota; Actinomycetes; Micrococcales; Microbacteriaceae. The record is from RNAcentral. RNAcentral also lists the same sequence under 1 other name.
GCCCCGAUAGCUCAGUGGUAGAGCACUUCCAUGGUAAGGAAGGGGUCGUCAGUUCAAACCUGACUCGGGGCUCCG